This 138-nucleotide unclassified non-coding RNA is filed under the name Melitaea cinxia (Glanville fritillary). RNAcentral's name for it is "misc RNA ENSMCXG00005023187.1". The record is from RNAcentral. Lineage: Eukaryota; Metazoa; Arthropoda; Insecta; Lepidoptera; Nymphalidae.
AUAAUCCUAGCGUCGGGUAAGCCGUGAUCACGAAGGCGGUUGCCCCAGAGCGAGACCUGUCCAUUAGCAUCUAGCAGUAACGGGUUGACCUCUGCGACUAUUCUCAGUGGGAUGUUCGGGCACAUAUUUUUUUUAGUC